AACGAACGCUGGCGGCAUGCCUAAUACAUGCAAGUCGAACGAGAUCUUCGGAUCUAGUGGCGCACGGGUGCGUAACGCGUGGGAAUCUGCCCUUGGGUUCGGAAUAACUUCUGGAAACGGAAGCUAAUACCGGAUGAUGACGUAAGUCCAAAGAUUUAUCGCCCAAGGAUGAGCCCGCGUAGGAUUAGGUAGUUGGUGAGGUAAAGGCUCACCAAGCCGACGAUCCUUAGCUGGUCUGAGAGGAUGAUCAGCCACACUGGGACUGAGACACGGCCCAGACUCCUACGGGAGGCAGCAGUAGGGAAUAUUGGACAAUGGGCGAAAGCCUGAUCCAGCAAUGCCGCGUGAGUGAUGAAGGCCUUAGGGUUGUAAAGCUCUUUUACCCGGGAUGAUAAUGACAGUACCGGGAGAAUAAGCUCCGGCGAACUCCGU
RNAcentral lists this ribosomal RNA (432 nucleotides) under uncultured bacterium. Its description in RNAcentral is "partial 16S ribosomal RNA". It matches the Rfam family "Bacterial small subunit ribosomal RNA", at positions 29 to 506 of the family's 1533-position model. The record is from RNAcentral.